GCGCUUGCUUCGGCAGCACACAUAGUAAAACUGGAACGAUACAGAGAAGAUUAGCAUGGCCCCUGCACAAGGAUGACACGCAAAUUCACGAAACGUUCCAUAUUUAA
Small nuclear RNA from Mesocricetus auratus (golden hamster), 107 nucleotides. The record is from Ensembl. NCBI's taxonomy places the organism in Eukaryota, Metazoa, Chordata, Mammalia, Rodentia, Cricetidae.